RNAcentral lists this ribosomal RNA (301 nucleotides) under uncultured bacterium. Its description in RNAcentral is "partial 16S ribosomal RNA". It matches the Rfam family "Bacterial small subunit ribosomal RNA", at positions 509 to 807 of the family's 1533-position model. The record is from RNAcentral.
CAGCAGCCGCGGGAAUACGGAGGGGACUGGCGUUGUUCGGAAUUACUGGGCGUAAAGCGCACGUAGGCGGCUUUGUAAGUUAGAGGUGAAAGCCUGGGGCUCAACUCCAGGAUUGCCUUUAAGACUGCAUCGCCUGAACGUCGGAGAGGUGAGUGGAAUUCCGAGUGUAGAGGUGAAAUUCGUAGAUAUUCGGAAGAACACCAGUGGCGAAGGCGGCUCACUGGACGACUGUUGACGCUGAGGUGCGAAAGCGUGGGGAGCAAACAGGAUUAGAUACCCGAGUAGUCCCUGUCUCUUAUAC